GUCACGGGCCUAAUUUUAGCCACGUGCGGACAGCUUAACACUCACGAUAUCGAGGCUAAACUUCAGUCCUAAACCGCCCUAAAUUCGUCCCAAGAACUUUCGAACACUCACACGAACUCACGAGGAAAUAGUAAGAAAGACACUCGGUUUUGGGAGGCCCGAAGAGCCAAUUUUCAGAUUAUAUUUCUUGAAUAUUUGAAGUGAAUGAUCUGCCCAAGAGGGCCUUUACAAGCUAUAUAUAAUGCCCCUUAGUCAAGGGAUACAAUUAAUGCUAGUCAACAUUACCCUAUUUGGGCAUACAAGCCAUGAACAAUUAGAAAGGGCUUUGUCUAGUAUGCUGAUUUUGUAGAGCAGUCACUGCUCAGCUGGUCAAGGC
This 376-nucleotide long non-coding RNA is filed under the name Capsicum annuum. RNAcentral describes it as "long non-coding RNA (CANN_LNC006085)". The record is from RNAcentral. Lineage: Eukaryota; Viridiplantae; Streptophyta; Magnoliopsida; Solanales; Solanaceae.